This 517-nucleotide ribosomal RNA is filed under the name uncultured Gammaproteobacteria bacterium. RNAcentral's name for it is "bacterial SSU rRNA". It matches the Rfam family "Bacterial small subunit ribosomal RNA", at positions 346 to 854 of the family's 1533-position model. The record is from RNAcentral. Lineage: Bacteria; Pseudomonadati; Pseudomonadota; Gammaproteobacteria.
AGGCAGCAGUGGGGAAUAUUGGACAAUGGGGGAAACCCUGAUCCAGCGAUGCCGCGUGGGUGAAGAAGGCCUGCGGGUUGUAAAGCCCUUUCGGUGGGGAAGAAAAACGGGGUGUGAACAGCGCCUCGUCUUGACGUUACCCACAGAAGAAGCACCGGCUAACUCCGUGCCAGCAGCCGCGGUAAUACGGAGGGUGCGAGCGUUAAUCGGAAUUACUGGGCGUAAAGGGCGCGUAGGUGGUUGGGUAAGUCGGGUGUGAAAGCCCUGGGCUUAACCUGGGAAUGGCAUUCGAGACUACCUAUCUAGAGUCUGGUAGAGGGAAGUGGAAUUUCCGGUGUAGCGGUGAAAUGUGUAGAUAUCGGAAGGAACACCAGUGGCGAAGGCGACUUCCUGGACCAAGACUGACGCUGAGGCGCGAAAGCGUGGGGAUCAAACAGGAUUAGAUACCCUGGUAGUCCACGCCCUAAACGAUGAGAACUGGCCGUUGGGGGAGUUAAAUCCUUGAGUGGCUCAGCUA